Gadus morhua (Atlantic cod) is the source of this 658-nucleotide long non-coding RNA. RefSeq lists it as uncharacterized. The record is from RefSeq and is a predicted model, not a curated record. The transcript is spliced from 3 exons. Lineage: Eukaryota; Metazoa; Chordata; Actinopteri; Gadiformes; Gadidae.
CUCACCGUGCUUCUGGGUAGAGCUUAAUUGGCCCAUUGACGGUGACUGUAUCGGGUUAGAUGGCGGAGAAGGAACAGUUUUCCGACCGCAUACGCAUACCUAUACGCAUAUGCAUUAGCAUACUGAAGCACUUUAAUAUUGUUUAGCAAACCGUAUUUGUAAUCCUUUAUUUUGAACUGCUGGAAAGUCAACCGGACUGUUAGAAUAAACACUCAACAAGAAUUCUACUCUCCGUGCGAGCUUCUUCAGAAUGUGUGUCGGGAGAACUCCGCAUCAGCCUCAUGGCCUCAAAAACCUGGUAGAAUGGCCAUAACAUAGUCGGAAAACUACCCGAAGACCGACGUCUUUGAAAGGAUUGUAUCCAUGGAUUGUGUCCUCACGGAUUGUGGACAACGUCACGGUUGAAUACCGAAGGGGAACGCAAUCGAUGGAAUGUAUGAAGAGCCGACGCAUCGCGUCACUACACGGUGUAGAGUAUCCGCCAACUACAGAGCAGAGUUCUACACCAUGUACAGUAUUGGGACCAUGGCAUGUGGUCGGCUCUACAAAGUCUGCACAGGAUAUAUUGGUACAGGGAAAAGAGGCAAACUGGAAGGAAUAUAUUCCGACAGCUACGACGGGGGGUACUGUCUACUGUGAUGACUUCUGCCGUCCAAGA